UACGGAGGAUCCGAGCGUUAUCCGGAUUUAUUGGGUUUAAAGGGUGCGCAGGCGGGGGAUUAAGUCGGCGGUGAAAUUUUGCAGCUCAACUGUAAAAGUGCCUUCGAAACUGGUUUCCUUGGGUGUAGAUGAAGUAGGCGGAAUUUGUGGUGUAGCGGUGAAAUGCUUAGAUAUCACGAGGAACUCCGAUUGCGCAGGCAGCUUACUAAACUACUACUGACGCUCAGGCACGAAGGCGUGGGGAUCAAACAGGAUUAGAUACCCGGGUAGUCCCUGAG
This 278-nucleotide ribosomal RNA is filed under the name uncultured prokaryote. RNAcentral's name for it is "partial 16S ribosomal RNA". It matches the Rfam family "Bacterial small subunit ribosomal RNA", at positions 524 to 801 of the family's 1533-position model. The record is from RNAcentral.